CUUGACGACCAUAGAGCGUUGGAACCACCUGAUCCCAUCCCGAACUCAGUAGUGAAACGACGC
Molecule: ribosomal RNA, 63 nt
Filed under: Pseudomonas sp. PDM22
Lineage: Bacteria; Pseudomonadati; Pseudomonadota; Gammaproteobacteria; Pseudomonadales; Pseudomonadaceae
Source: RNAcentral